AUGUGGAUGUAUUCGGGUCUAGAAGACUCCACUCGGAUCUACCCGGAGGAGGUCGAUGACGACACGCUGGAGAAGUGGCUGUCGAGCAUUACCGGGAACAAGGACAAUCCCAGAGGAGCCAGGAGAGUUCUCCCAUUUGACCAGUCGCGUGCGCCAGAGCAGGCCAUUACUGAAAUGUAUUCGAUGCCCAACGGGGAGCAAGAGCAAGCUCUGGAAGGCGAGGCGAGUGGUGGCGAAAGUGGCGAGUGGACUUCUGAUGGUGAAGGGGAUGGUGGAAGUGACGACUCAAGUGAUGGGGAAGAAGUCGAGUCGCCUCCUCACAUAGAGAGAUGA
This 333-nucleotide ribosomal RNA is filed under the name Triticum aestivum (bread wheat). RNAcentral's name for it is "partial small subunit ribosomal RNA". Lineage: Eukaryota; Viridiplantae; Streptophyta; Magnoliopsida; Poales; Poaceae. The record is from RNAcentral.